Molecule: RNase P RNA, 440 nt
Filed under: Limisphaera ngatamarikiensis
Lineage: Bacteria; Pseudomonadati; Verrucomicrobiota; Verrucomicrobiia; Limisphaerales; Limisphaeraceae
Description: Bacterial RNase P class A
Rfam family: Bacterial RNase P class A
About the family: Ribonuclease P (RNase P) is a ubiquitous endoribonuclease, found in archaea, bacteria and eukarya as well as chloroplasts and mitochondria. Its best characterised activity is the generation of mature 5'-ends of tRNAs by cleaving the 5'-leader elements of precursor-tRNAs.
Source: Rfam by way of RNAcentral
CGGAAAGAGCGGAGUAUCGCUCCCGGGAGUUUUCCCGGGGGAGGAAAGUCCGAACACCGCAGGGCACGAUGCCGCGUAACCCCCUGCACCCGGGUAGGAGUGCAGCGCGGGAUACACGCGGGCGGCGACGCCGUGAGGCGUCCCGACGGACAGUGCCACAGAAAACAAACCGCCUGUGCGCAUCCCGGCCGAUCCCGGUCGGGCCGGCGCACCGGCAAGGGUGAAAAGGUGGGGUAAGAGCCCACCGCUCGUUCGCGCAAGCGACGAGGCACGGCAAACCCCAUCGGGUGCAAGGCCAAAUAGGGGACGUUCGAAGUGGCCCGCUUCAGUUCCGCCCACGCGGAACGCGUCCCGGGUUCUGGCCGCGCAGAUAAAUGAUACUCUCCUCCGGGCCACAAGCCCGGAGCAGACAGAAUUCGGCUUACAGCUCUUUCCGGGGC